This 347-nucleotide ribosomal RNA is filed under the name uncultured Enterobacter sp. Its description in RNAcentral is "bacterial SSU rRNA". It matches the Rfam family "Bacterial small subunit ribosomal RNA", at positions 1013 to 1360 of the family's 1533-position model. The record is from RNAcentral. Lineage: Bacteria; Pseudomonadati; Pseudomonadota; Gammaproteobacteria; Enterobacterales; Enterobacteriaceae.
GGUGCCUUCGGGAACUCUGAGACAGGUGCUGCAUGGCUGUCGUCAGCUCGUGUUGUGAAAUGUUGGGUUAAGUCCCGCAACGAGCGCAACCCUUAUCCUUUGUUGCCAGCGGUUAGGCCGGGAACUCAAAGGAGACUGCCAGUGAUAAACUGGAGGAAGGUGGGGAUGACGUCAAGUCAUCAUGGCCCUUACGAGUAGGGCUACACACGUGCUACAAUGGCGCAUACAAAGAGAAGCGACCUCGCGAGAGCAAGCGGACCUCAUAAAGUACGUCGUAGUCCGGAUUGGAGUCUGCAACUCGACUCCAUGAAGUCGGAAUCGCUAGUAAUCGUGGAUCAGAAUGCCAC